UGGGGAAUAUUGCACAAUGGGCGAAAGCCUGAUGCAGCAACGCCGCGUGAGGGACGACGGCCUUCGGGUUGUAAACCUCUUUUAGCAAGGAAGAAGCGAAAGUGACGGUACUUGCAGAAAAAGCGACCGGCUAACUACGUGCCAGCAGCCGCGGUAAUACGUAGGGCGCAAGCGUUAUCCGGAAUUAUUGGGCGUAAAGAGCUCGUAGGCGGUUUGUCGCGUCUGCUGUGAAAACCCGAGGCUCAACCUCGGGCCUGCAGUGGGUACGGGCAGACUAGAGUGCGGUAGGGGAGAUUGGAACUCCUGGUGUAGCGGUGGAAUGCGCAGAUAUCAGGAAGAACACCGAUGGCGAAGGCAGAUCUCUGGGCCGUAACUGACGCUGAGGAGCGAAAGGGUGGGGAGCAAACAGGCUUAGAUACCCUGGUAGUCCACCCCGUAAACGUUGGGAACUAGUUGUGGGGUCCAUUCCACGGAUUCCGUGACGCAGCUAACGCAUUAAGUUCCCCGCCUGGGGGAGUACGGCCGCAAGGCUAAAACU
RNAcentral lists this ribosomal RNA (538 nucleotides) under uncultured bacterium. RNAcentral describes it as "partial 16S ribosomal RNA". It matches the Rfam family "Bacterial small subunit ribosomal RNA", at positions 355 to 901 of the family's 1533-position model. The record is from RNAcentral.